Molecule: long non-coding RNA, 3676 nt
Organism: Mustela erminea (ermine)
Lineage: Eukaryota; Metazoa; Chordata; Mammalia; Carnivora; Mustelidae
Exons: 4
Source: RefSeq, a predicted model, not a curated record
GGACCCCGCACUUACUUACGGCUUCUCUGUUGUCCCUGCUCUACUCAUGGCUCUCAGUAUUACAUUUUCAUCUUAUGCCAAUGAUCAAGAUUCCCACAAAACUCCCUUCUCCUCUAUUUUGUCUUGUAUAAAAACAACCAAAAAGACCCACCCUCAUCCUUUUUUUUUUUUUCAAUUCGUUCUUCCUGCCCACAGACUCAUGACAUCCAGUACGCAGAGCAGUCGUUCCGCAGAGCUGGGGCUGAGGGCUCUCGCCAUCUCCUCGAUUCCCACCUGCCCCGUCCCUCAGGACGCCCCGAGGGGGCCUCACCGAGCGCCCCUGCACGUCUUUCACGCCCGAUGACCGUUUGUCCAGCACCCGCGGGAGGGCCACCAGGCACAAGGCAGACACUCAGUGACCGAGGGACACGUGAAUGACUGAAUGGGCUGAGGCAACAGCACACCGAGAUCUGUUCUCUGAGCCACCAGCUUCCAGAGCUGAACACGGAGAGGAGGACGCACGAGAUGUGGGCACAGCUGGGUCAAGGGCAGUGGCCCCCGCCCCCCACGCCUGCCCAGCACAGCCAGAGCCAACGGACUGCCGGGUAGAACCUGGACGGUAUCACUUUGUUGUCUGAACAGAAGCUUGAAAGAGAAAACAGAGAGAGGAAAUGGAAACUCCUAGAAGUUAAGCCCAGAGCACCACAGCCCGGCAGCGGUCAGACGCUAGAGGAGACAGAAGCAGAGCUCCCCCCGAGGACCUGCAGUCCUGGAAGGGUCUUCAGCAACGUCUGAUGCAGAUGCUGUGUCACACAGGGACGGGGAGGUGAAGGGCAGGGGACGUAGAGCCGGCCCACCCCGGCGCAGGUAUGGGAGCUUGGGCCUGUGGUGUCGCAAACCCCCACCCCCACCCCAGGCUGGGUGAGCCACGUGAAUGGAGAGCGAAGCCAGGGAAGUUAGCAGAGUAAAGCCAGCCAGUCUGACAGGGGAGGAGCUUAGCUGUCGGAGGAGGGGGCCUGGCCCGACUAAGGCCCCUUGGGCUGAACACAGGACCAGUGUGUUCACCGCUGGGGUGUGGCUCUGACAAAAAUAAAAAGGGAAGAAGUAGGGGAAAUGUGUCAUAUUUCCUUUGGCAGAAACACGAGCCCAGGUUCUUAGUUUUCAAAACUGGGCCGCAGUGGUGCCUCCCAAGUGUGUGCAGUGCGGGGCAGCUGCCCGGGGUGGGGAGGGGAGAGGCCCCACAGUGGCUUUUUACGCAGUGUGCGACAGUCAGAUGUCCUUUAUGCUGCGCGUUAAUGAAAGCAGCUUCGCCCACAGAAAUGGGACCAGAGCACAAGACUGCACUUGGGGGUCAAAAUCAUGGGUCUGCAGACCCCCAUGUACAUAAGCUGCUCGAGUUGGCCGCGUCUGGGGUUCCAGCAGUGCCACCUGGCUCUUGGACCAUCUGUUUUGCUGCUUAUUAGCCCCUGCAAGCAGAUGAUCCAGCUGGGAGCAGAGGUCAAAGACAGUUCUGAGAGCGAAAAACUCCUUCUGAAGGCGUGUGUGCCUGUGCCUUGGGCCCGCCUGCAUCUGGUGGUUAGCGGUGGGGCUCCACAGCCGGUUGAUGGGAGGCUAAGACUGGGGUUCACGGGACCAAAGCAGAGGGCCAAGGCGAGUAGUACUGGAAACUAGGGCUGCCGCUGGCUGUUGGGUCUCCUGCCUGGCCCUCGCCUACAAUCCUGACAUGAGAGCCACAGCCCCCCUCCUACUGAGGGGGCCAGGGUUUCUCCUCUUGUGAUGCCAUGAAUGGCAUAUUCUGGAUGGUUCCCUCUGUCACAGGCCCUGAGGAAUCAGUAGCACUCUGGGCAAACCAGGGGCCUGGAUUCACUGAGCUCACUUUCUUGUUGGGAGAAAAGGCCAACAGUACACUUUUAAAAAACAUAAUGGUAACUUCUGGAAAGAUUUGGGAAGGAAACAAACAGGGUGAAGUAAAGGAGAGACAGCAGCAGGAGGAAGCCGUUAGCCUGGAUCAAUGGGUCAGGGAGGGCCUGCGUGGGGAGGAGACAUCUUGGUUUGAGGCCUGAGGGACCUGAAAGAGCCCUCUGGAGUCUUCCAGAGCCUUCCAGGGAGUGAGGGCCGUAGCUAUAAACACCUGGUUGGGAGACGAACAGAUUUCCAGGGCUGGGGUGCCUGCAGCCCUGUGACAGAGGAGAGGGGACGAGACAAGUCUGGACAGGUGAGCUGUCCCCAGUCCCUGAGGGUCUUGUAGGCCAGGGUGACAAGUGUGAAUUCUAUCCUUCUAACCAAGUGUUCCCUUAACUCACAUCCCUGUUCCCCCAAACCCAAGGAGCUUGGCGCCCAGAUGGCAGGCAGACCUGGGAUUUGGGACAGACGGAGUGAAGUCCUGGGAUUACCUCGCGCACAUCCUGCCGGCUGGGCCUGCGGGAAGCACCCAGGCCUACCUGAGUGUGGUUACACCCCAGGGUGGGGGCUGGGGGCGACAGUACUAAGGCCUAGACCUUAAGCUUUGCAAGAGGUCUUUAGGGAGUUGGCUGAAAGGAUGGUUAAGUUUCCCAAGAACUUCACCUGAGUCUUCUCAGGGCAGGAGAGGGUUCUUCCCUGGGGAGUUUGUAAUACAUAUGAAAGGGCUUCAAGCCAGGCACAAAAUAACCCUGAGAAAGUAAAUCACCCCUAAACUGAGUAGCCAAUGCUGUGAGGCCUCCCCCUCCAGCCUUCAGGGCCAGAUCUGGGAGCCUGAGAAAGCCGGUCUUGGCGGGUGUGGAUGGGCUGCCUGAGCAGAGAGCCGGGGCUGCGGCUCCUUCUGGCCCUCCGCCCUGGGGAGCACCCCCACGGCCCCGCUGCGGCCCAGCAGACAGACGGCAGCUCCCCUCACAGAAGCGCUGGGCGGCUGGGGACCCCCUCCCAAAGUCUGUUGACAUCUAGGCUGGGGGAGACCCGGGGAUUCCUUCAUAUCACUGGGCCACGACAUGGAGGCCACAGCGGGGCCCAGACCAAGUCAGCCUGUCUGGGAGGCACCCGUCAAGGAGACCUAACUCACACACACACAGAGCACGGCCCCCAGUGCGCUUCCGCCAGCUGGCCGUACCCCGCAAAGCGGGACCUACCAGCCAGUCGUGCCCACGGCUUCCCACACUGCUCUUUUCUCGGCCAUUCGCUCUGGCCCCCAAUCCCACGCCAGCGCUCCAGGCUCCGCGAGGCGCUGUACUCCCCCAAUCCACGGCUCGUCGUCCCUCACAUCAAGGAAGGGCAAACCCAUGACUGAACGGUUUUCAUUUUGUCAUUUGACAGGGCUGAGAACGCCGAGGUGCUGUCAGCCCCGGGUACCAAUCUCUGAGGACUCUCAGUUCUAAUGAGAACGCGCUGUCCGUGGAUUCCAAGAUCAAACCUGCAGGCAGGUUACACUGACUACAUCACUUGAAGUUGUACCAUUCUGAUGGCCACGGCAGGCUAGAGUCAGCGAAGUAAUCCCCGGAUCCAGUUCCCAGGUGGAUUCCCAGACAUAACAGGGGAAAUUGGAUCCCAACCCCCCAAAUGGUAACCCCCCAGGGGUACUGGGAGGGACUUCUGGAAGCGGGAGUAUCUCAGAAAAGCCGCACGUAGGAAGUUAAUGUGUGAUAAAAGUGGCAUUACAGGGGCGCCUGGAUGGCUCAGUGGGUUAAGCCGCUGCCUUUGGCUCAGAUCACGGUCUCGGGAUCGA